AAUUGCUGAUUUCAGAUAGAUGCAAUAGAAUAAGUGAAAGUAAUUUCACUUAAUUGCCUCUGCUCUCCCAAAGACAAAGUGACCCAUGUUAGAAAUGGCAGAACUCCAUCGUGGAAUCCAUUCCUGGCAUAAUACUGAUGGCAAAAACCACAGAGUAGAAAUUCCCCUAGACUGGUAACCUCAUCAGCUCUUUCUUCCUUUUGACAUUGGCAAAAGCCUGUAGUCUGGAUGGGAGCUCUAAUUGCUCUCCAUAAGGUUCCAGCACCUGUUUCCAGGGUCCAGUGGUCAGAUGAACAGACUGAAUGCCAAAAGUUGCAUUUGCUAUUUCCAUAUUUUCUCACCCCCAGAACCCCAUCACAAAUAUGCUAUAGGCUUUUGACUUGCUGACACCCUAGAAUGGGAGAUGCACUGAGAGGCAGCCAGGAUGAAACCUCCUCUUUCACUGGGAACUCCAAGUGUCAAUGAAGCUGAGGGGAAUGAACAUCUUGGCAUCUUCUGCUGAGUUCUCAUGCCAGGCUGUUGAUGUGUUGUAAAUAUGUGACUUCUUUUUGUAGGACUGUAUUUCCUAGAGCACAUGUUCCCAAGUAAGCCCUAUCCAGCUGCAUAGCCUGUGACUUUAAUAAUUCUCAAAGCCUUUUCCUGGUUUUGUGUUGCUGACUCAAUAGCAAAGGAUCAAUUUAUAUUAAAGGCCAAAUAUUAAAAAUUCUAGGGAGGACUCUGGAGUAUCUAUUUUGAAUUUAAUUGAAAUCAGUGUAAUGUUGUUCACAGAUGAAAAACAGAACAGGUAUAUUUUGCAGGCUUGUAAUUAUAACUCUGUAUCGUGAAAUGAAACCCAGCAGGGAGGAAAGUAAAACAUUGAUUUUUUUUUUCCAGGACGCCAUGUCUCUGUGCACUAAAGAAUGCUUCCCAAUGUCAUCAGUGUCGCAUAUUAGAGCACCUGUGAGCCUCUUGCCUUUUGAAGUACCCAGGAGGGAAAGAUGAUGCUUUUAUUGUCACCCCAUAUCCCAAACUCUUGAGAAAGUCUUCAUAGCUAAUAGAGAUGAUCCCAACAUACAAAUGGGUUGUAUUCCAAAUGUGCAUUUUUGGUUGUUCUUUCUUUUUUGUUUUGUUUUGUUUUUUUAGGGCCACACCCAUGGCACAUGGAAGUUCCCAGGCUAGAGGUCCAAUCAGAGCUAUGGCUGCCAGCCUAGCCACAGCCACAGCAAUAGCGGAUCCUUUAAUUCACUGAUCAAGGCCAGGGAUUGAACCUGCAUCCUCGUGGAUACUAGUUAGGCUCAUUAGCACUGAGCCAUGACCGGAACUCCUCGGUUGUUCUUUCUUUAUACCCUGGAACAUAUUUUCCCACAGAAAUAAGAUUCUCCUUGGUGAUUAAAUUACAAUACAAGGUAUACAGAAAAGUGUUUCAUCUACGAUAUGCUGAAAUGAAGUAUGGACCCACCAAGCACCAGUCAUGUGUUGAGUUCUGAAGACCCACAAAUAAAUUCCCUCAAGGAAUUAAUAUUAUUGUGAAAAAUAUAAACAAUUAUUGAAAGCAGGAUUCAAUAUGGUGGGAUAGGUGCUGUAAAGAAGACAUGCAAAUGUGCUCUGGGAAUCCAAAGGAGGAGCAACUAGAUCUAGUUUUGAAAGAAUCUGAAGCUGAGAAAUGCAAAAACACAGCAUUUUUUGAAAAGUGCAAAAAAAAAAAAAUGCAUGAGGAGAGACGAAUGAGUUUGGAAGGCAGGCAAGAGAGGAGAUGCAUAAGGAGACAGGGUACCAGAGGAAGGAGCUUUGAUGGUUUAUCCUGGUGGUAAUGAGAAACCAUUGAAAGAGUGUCUCCAAAGGAUUGGCAUGAUCAGAUUUUUAUUUUAGAAAAAUCACACUGAGAAUGAAGAUUAGAUCUGGGAAAAGUGAAAGAGGAGACUAGGAGAUAAUUUCAAAGUUUUGCUAGGCUAGUAUAAUGAGUUGUAAAGUAUUUCCUGUGUUCAUAAAUGCAGGAGUAGUAUGAUAAAUUUGGGUUAUUUUUCUAUUUUUUCUACAGUUUUAUUUGAGCCUGGUAUUUGUAUGUGUGUGGAGGAGAGAUUUGAAUCUAUCAGAUAAAUUUCUAAAAUGAUUAUAGGGAGUUCCCUGGUGGCCUAGCAGUUAGGGACUCCCCCUUAUCACUAUUGUGGCUAGGGUUGCUGCUGUGGCUCAGGUUUGCUCCCUGGCAUGGGAACUUACAUAUGCCACAGGCACAGCCAAAAAUAAAA
RNAcentral lists this long non-coding RNA (2225 nucleotides) under Sus scrofa (pig). RNAcentral's name for it is "lncRNA (ENSSSCG00040025860.1)". Lineage: Eukaryota; Metazoa; Chordata; Mammalia; Artiodactyla; Suidae. The record is from RNAcentral.